CACGUAGGCGGACUGGAAAGUUGGAGGUGAAAUCCCAGGGCUCAACCUUGGAACUGCCUUCAAAACUAUCAGUCUCGAGUUCGAGAGAGGUGAGUGGAAUUCCGAGUGUAGAGGUGAAAUUCGUAGAUAUUCGGAGGAACACCAGUGGCGAAGGCGGCUCACUGGCUCGAUACUGACGCUGAGGUGCGAAAGUGUGGGGAGCAAACA
Molecule: ribosomal RNA, 207 nt
Filed under: uncultured bacterium
Lineage: Bacteria
Description: partial 16S ribosomal RNA
Rfam family: Bacterial small subunit ribosomal RNA
Source: RNAcentral